Small nucleolar RNA from Trichoderma harzianum, 91 nucleotides. It matches the Rfam family "A. fumigatus snoRNA Afu_455". Lineage: Eukaryota; Fungi; Ascomycota; Sordariomycetes; Hypocreales; Hypocreaceae. The record is from Rfam.
CUGUGUGAUGAACAAUUGACACCUCAGGGAUUCCUCAUGCUUAAUAUACGAUGUGGAUACCGUGUUUGAUAAGUUUCAGCCUUGUCUGAUC